GAUGAAGAACGCAGCGAAAUGCGAUAAGUAGUGUGAAUUGCAGAAUUCAGUGAAUCAUCGAAUCUUUGAACGCACAUUGCGCCCCUUGGUAUCCCGAGGGGCAUGCCUGUUCGAGCGUCAUUUCACCACUCAAGCCUGGCUUGGUGUUGGGCGACGUCCUCUUUGGGGACGCGCCUCGAAACGCUCGGCGGCGUGGCACCGGCUUUAAGCGUAGCAGAAUCUUUCGCUUUGGAAGUCGGGGCCCCGUCUGCCGGAAGACCUGCUCGCAAGGUUGACCUCGGAUCAGGCAGGGAUACCCGCUGAACUUAAGCAUAUCAAUAAGGGGAGGA
Molecule: unclassified non-coding RNA, 329 nt
Filed under: soil metagenome
Description: partial contains 5.8S ribosomal RNA, internal transcribed spacer 2, and large subunit ribosomal RNA
Rfam family: 5.8S ribosomal RNA (bases 1-120)
Source: RNAcentral